This 434-nucleotide unclassified non-coding RNA is filed under the name soil metagenome. RNAcentral's name for it is "partial contains 5.8S ribosomal RNA, internal transcribed spacer 2, and large subunit ribosomal RNA". The stretch from base 1 to 120 matches the Rfam family "5.8S ribosomal RNA", at positions 35 to 154 of the family's 154-position model. The record is from RNAcentral.
GAUGAAGAACGCAGCGAAAUGCGAUAAGUAAUGUGAAUUGCAGAAUUCCGUGAAUCAUCGAAUCUUUGAACGCAUAUUGCGCUCUUUGGUAUUCCGAAGAGCAUGCUUGUUUGAGUAUCAGUAAACACCUCAAAGCUUUUGGAUUUUUUAAUCGAAAAGCUUUGGACUUGAGCAAUCCCAACACCAAUCUUUUUGAGAUCGGUGGCGGGUUGCUUGAAAUGCAGGUGCAGCUGGACAUUCUCCUGAGCUAAAAGCAUAUUCAUUUAGUCCCGUCAAACGGAUUAUUACUUUUGCUGCAGCUAACAUAAAGGGAGUUUGACCGUAUUGGCUGACUGAUGCAGGAUUUCACAAGGGUCGGCAACGAUUCUUGUUAAACUCGAUCUCAAAUCAAGUAAGACUACCCGCUGAACUUAAGCAUAUCAAUAAGCGGAGGA